AGAAUCCAAACAUAUCACCAGAACUGGGUAGGAAAUUUUCAUGGUGUCAACAAACUUGCAGGGAGACAAUUUGCAGCUGAGAAAACGGCUCUGAGUUUUCCCAGAAAAGUUUAAACGGAAGCAUUUGAAUCAGGCAUUUUGCGCCCCACCAGAGGACAUUUUGGAUGUGCUCCUUACAAAUAAGUUGAAUCCGAUAUUUUUCCAGAUGUCUCCAUACCUGUUUGCUUACAGCAGAGCCCCUGCUUGACUUCUUGUUUUAAGGGUGUUUUUCGUUGGGUUUAUCAUGAACCAGUGGCUUUUCUCAACACUCCCACUUUCCGGCACUUUCCGGCACGGCGUGGUAUCUAAAAAUAUUUGAAGCUCCUUACUGUA
This is a long non-coding RNA of Neofelis nebulosa (Clouded leopard), 372 nucleotides long. RefSeq lists it as uncharacterized. Lineage: Eukaryota; Metazoa; Chordata; Mammalia; Carnivora; Felidae. The transcript has 2 exons. The record is from RefSeq and is a predicted model, not a curated record.